GUGAGGAAUAUUGGUCAAUGGGCGAGAGCCUGAACCAGCCAAGUCGCGUGAAGGAAGAAGGAUCUAUGGUUCGUAAACUUCUUUUGCAGGGGAAUAAAGUGCGGGACGUGUCCUGUUUUGUAUGUACCCUGAGAAUAAGGAUCGGCUAACUCCGUGCCAGCAGCCGCGGUAAUACGGAGGAUCCGAGCGUUAUCCGGAUUUAUUGGGUUUCAAGGGUGCGUAGGUGGUUUGAUAAGUCAGCGGUGAAAGUUUGCAGCUUAACUGUAAAAAUGCCGUUGAAACUGUCGGACUUGAGUGUAAAUGAGGUAGGCGGAAUGCGUGGUGUAGCGGUGAAAUGCAUAGAUAUCACGCAGAACUCCGAUUGCGAAGGCAGCUUACUAAGCUACAACUGACACUGAAGCACGAAAGCGUGGGGAUCAAACAGGAUUAGAAACCCUUGUAGUCC
Molecule: ribosomal RNA, 445 nt
Filed under: uncultured bacterium
Lineage: Bacteria
Description: partial 16S ribosomal RNA
Rfam family: Bacterial small subunit ribosomal RNA
Source: RNAcentral